GGGUUGUGAGGUUAAGCGACUAAGCGUACACGGUGGAUGCCCUGGCAGUCAGAGGCGAUGAAGGACGUGCUAAUCUGCGAUAAGCGUCGGUAAGGUGAUAUGAACCGUUAUAACCGGCGAUUUCCGAAUGGGGAAACCCAGUGUGUUUCGACACACUAUCAUUAACUGAAUCCAUAGGUUAAUGAGGCGAACCGGGGGAACUGAAACAUCUAAGUACCCCGAGGAAAAGAAAUCAACCGAGAUUCCCCCAGUAGCGGCGAGCGAACGGGGAGGAGCCCAGAGCCUGAAUCAGUGUGUGUGUUAGUGGAAGCGUCUGGAAAGGCGCGCGAUACAGGGUGACAGCCCCGUACACAAAAAUGCACAUACUGUGAGCUCGAUGAGUAGGGCGGGACACGUGGUAUCCUGUCUGAAUAUGGGGGGACCAUCCUCCAAGGCUAAAUACUCCUGACUGACCGAUAGUGAACCAGUACCGUGAGGGAAAGGCGAAAAGAACCCCGGCGAGGGGAGUGAAAAAGAACCUGAAACCGUGUACGUACAAGCAGUGGGAGCACGCUUAGGCGUGUGACUGCGUACCUUUUGUAUAAUGGGUCAGCGACUUAUAUUCUGUAGCAAGGUUAACCGAAUAGGGGAGCCGAAGGGAAACCGAGUCUUAACUGGGCGUUAAGUUGCAGGGUAUAGACCCGAAACCCGGUGAUCUAGCCAUGGGCAGGUUGAAGGUUGGGUAACACUAACUGGAGGACCGAACCGACUAAUGUUGAAAAAUUAGCGGAUGACUUGUGGCUGGGGGUGAAAGGCCAAUCAAACCGGGAGAUAGCUGGUUCUCCCCGAAAGCUAUUUAGGUAGCGCCUCGUGAAUUCAUCUCCGGGGGUAGAGCACUGUUUCGGCAAGGGGGUCAUCCCGACUUACCAACCCGAUGCAAACUGCGAAUACCGGAGAAUGUUAUCACGGGAGACACACGGCGGGUGCUAACGUCCGUCGUGAAGAGGGAAACAACCCAGACCGCCAGCUAAGGUCCCAAAGUCAUGGUUAAGUGGGAAACGAUGUGGGAAGGCCCAGACAGCCAGGAUGUUGGCUUAGAAGCAGCCAUCAUUUAAAGAAAGCGUAAUAGCUCACUGGUCGAGUCGGCCUGCGCGGAAGAUGUAACGGGGCUAAACCAUGCACCGAAGCUGCGGCAGCGACGCUUAUGCGUUGUUGGGUAGGGGAGCGUUCUGUAAGCCUGUGAAGGUGUACUGUGAGGUAUGCUGGAGGUAUCAGAAGUGCGAAUGCUGACAUAAGUAACGAUAAAGCGGGUGAAAAGCCCGCUCGCCGGAAGACCAAGGGUUCCUGUCCAACGUUAAUCGGGGCAGGGUGAGUCGACCCCUAAGGCGAGGCCGAAAGGCGUAGUCGAUGGGAAACAGGUUAAUAUUCCUGUACUUGGUGUUACUGCGAAGGGGGGACGGAGAAGGCUAUGUUGGCCGGGCGACGGUUGUCCCGGUUUAAGCGUGUAGGCUGGUUUUCCAGGCAAAUCCGGAAAAUCAAGGCUGAGGCGUGAUGACGAGGCACUACGGUGCUGAAGCAACAAAUGCCCUGCUUCCAGGAAAAGCCUCUAAGCAUCAGGUAACAUCAAAUCGUACCCCAAACCGACACAGGUGGUCAGGUAGAGAAUACCAAGGCGCUUGAGAGAACUCGGGUGAAGGAACUAGGCAAAAUGGUGCCGUAACUUCGGGAGAAGGCACGCUGAUAUGUAGGUGAAGUGAUUUACUCAUGGAGCUGAAAUCAGUCGAAGAUACCAGCUGGCUGCAACUGUUUAUUAAAAACACAGCACUGUGCAAACACGAAAGUGGACGUAUACGGUGUGACGCCUGCCCGGUGCCGGAAGGUUAAUUGAUGGGGUCAGCGCAAGCGAAGCUCUUGAUCGAAGCCCCGGUAAACGGCGGCCGUAACUAUAACGGUCCUAAGGUAGCGAAAUUCCUUGUCGGGUAAGUUCCGACCUGCACGAAUGGCGUAAUGAUGGCCAGGCUGUCUCCACCCGAGACUCAGUGAAAUUGAACUCGCUGUGAAGAUGCAGUGUACCCGCGGCAAGACGGAAAGACCCCGUGAACCUUUACUAUAGCUUGACACUGAACAUUGAGCCUUGAUGUGUAGGAUAGGUGGGAGGCUUUGAAGUGUGGACGCCAGUCUGCAUGGAGCCGACCUUGAAAUACCACCCUUUAAUGUUUGAUGUUCUAACGUGGACCCGUAAUCCGGGUUGCGGACAGUGUCUGGUGGGUAGUUUGACUGGGGCGGUCUCCUCCUAAAGAGUAACGGAGGAGCACGAAGGUUGGCUAAUCCUGGUCGGACAUCAGGAGGUUAGUGCAAUGGCAUAAGCCAGCUUGACUGCGAGCGUGACGGCGCGAGCAGGUGCGAAAGCAGGUCAUAGUGAUCCGGUGGUUCUGAAUGGAAGGGCCAUCGCUCAACGGAUAAAAGGUACUCCGGGGAUAACAGGCUGAUACCGCCCAAGAGUUCAUAUCGACGGCGGUGUUUGGCACCUCGAUGUCGGCUCAUCACAUCCUGGGGCUGAAGUAGGUCCCAAGGGUAUGGCUGUUCGCCAUUUAAAGUGGUACGCGAGCUGGGUUUAGAACGUCGUGAGACAGUUCGGUCCCUAUCUGCCGUGGGCGCUGGAGAACUGAGGGGGGCUGCUCCUAGUACGAGAGGACCGGAGUGGACGCAUCACUGGUGUUCGGGUUGUCAUGCCAAUGGCACUGCCCGGUAGCUAAAUGCGGAAGAGAUAAGUGCUGAAAGCAUCUAAGCACGAAACUUGCCCCGAGAUGAGUUCUCCCUGAC
Molecule: ribosomal RNA, 2802 nt
Filed under: Escherichia coli
Lineage: Bacteria; Pseudomonadati; Pseudomonadota; Gammaproteobacteria; Enterobacterales; Enterobacteriaceae
Description: partial 23S ribosomal RNA
Rfam family: Bacterial large subunit ribosomal RNA
Source: RNAcentral